UACGAGGGGUGCUAGCGUUGUUCGGAAUCACUGGGCGUAAAGCGCACGUAGGCGGUCCGCACCAGUCAGGCGUGAAAGCCCCGGGCUCAACCCGGGAACUGCGCUUGAUACUAGCGGGCUAGAGUCCGGGAGAGGAUAGUGGAAUUCCCAGUGUAGAGGUGAAAUUCGUAGAUAUUGGGAAGAACACCAGUGGCGAAGGCGGCUAUCUGGACCGGUACUGACGCUGAGGUGCGAAAGCGUGGGGAGCAAACAGG
RNAcentral lists this ribosomal RNA (254 nucleotides) under uncultured bacterium. RNAcentral's name for it is "partial 16S ribosomal RNA". It matches the Rfam family "Bacterial small subunit ribosomal RNA", at positions 524 to 776 of the family's 1533-position model. The record is from RNAcentral.